This 396-nucleotide ribosomal RNA is filed under the name uncultured bacterium. RNAcentral's name for it is "partial 16S ribosomal RNA". It matches the Rfam family "Bacterial small subunit ribosomal RNA", at positions 523 to 918 of the family's 1533-position model. The record is from RNAcentral.
AUACGUAGGGGACAAGCGUUAUCCGGAUUUACUGGGUGUAAAGGGAGCGCAGACGGCAGUGCAAGUCUGAAGUGGAAGCCCGGGGCUCAACCCCGGGACUGCUUUGGAAACUGUUCUGCUAGAGUACUGGAAGGGCAAGCGGAAUUCCUGGUGUAGCGGUGAAAUGCGUAGAUAUCAGGAGGAACACCGGUGGCGAAGGCGGCGUGCUGGACAGCAACUGACGUUGAGGCUCGAGAGCGUGGGGAGCAAACAGGAUUAGAUACCCUGGUAGUCCACGCUGUAAACGAUGAAUACUAGGUGUUGGGAGACUAAGUCUUUCAGUGCCGUCGCAAACGCAGUAAGUAUUCCACCUGGGGAGUACGUUCGCAAGAAUGAAACUUAAAGGAAUUGACGGGG